Long non-coding RNA from Lycium ferocissimum, 2953 nucleotides. RefSeq lists it as uncharacterized. The transcript has 2 exons. The record is from RefSeq and is a predicted model, not a curated record. Lineage: Eukaryota; Viridiplantae; Streptophyta; Magnoliopsida; Solanales; Solanaceae.
AAGGAGUACCUUCUAAGCUAAAAUCCAAGCCAUAUUCUCAACUUUUGACUUUUGGCUUAUUUUCGUACUUUUCAUACUAAAAAAUAAGUGCUUUUAAGCACUUUUUAUUUUUGUCAAACACCUCAAAAACAAAAAAAAAGUGUUUAAAAGCCGAUAAACAUUUAAAAUAAGUCAAUUCAAACACCCUUUUAUUUUUGAAACAGACUAAAAAAUAAGGUAAGACAAAUAAAUUGAAUCGGAGGGAUUAUUUGUUGUUUUUGCUGUCAUUCAGUUAGGGUUCUGUCAGCAUUAGGUGUUCUUUUUUCGACCGGAGUGUUGCUACUUUGCGCCGUGUGUAUUGACUGUGUAAUGUGCACACUUUCGUUAGUCCUUUUUCGAGCUCUGGACCAUAAUUAAUGACUCUGGCUAAUGAGGUUGGUUGGGGGAAAUUAAUAGUGUUGAAAUGACCAAAAUGUCCUUUAUCUAGUUUUAGAAACAACAGAUGUAGUCUUUCAUGCUCACAUUUAUCACUUAAUCUUAUGAUUAAAUGAUACUAUUAUAUAUUAUGACUUUAAUUUUAAACGUUUGAUGUAAAUGCGACACACAUUUAUCACUUAAUCAUGGCUAUUUAAUUCUUAACUGUUAAAGUUAAAUUACUUAGUUCGGUGUAAAUAUCAAGUGCAAAUAAAUUAACUAAUGUAUUACUCCCUCCGUCCCAUUUGAACCGUCACAUUAGCUUUUUUCACGUCCAUUAAGAAAAAUAAAUACAAGGUAUAUAAUUUACUAAGAUCCUUAUUUAUUAGAUGAUUUUUGAGAAUUGAGCAAUAGUAAAAGGAACUACAUCUUUAAUGUUGAGGUUAUAGUUGGAAACAAUUGCUAAUUUUAAUUUUGAAUUCCUAAAAUAUAAUUAUUUUUGGAAUAUUUAUUCAAGCUAAAGCGACAAUUAAAAUGGAACAGUGGAAGUAAAAUGUAGGGGAAUAAUUUCUUUUAGAAAAGUUGGGUAAUUGAAACUAGUGGAAAAAAAGAAAAAGUUUAAUGGGAAGUUUCGUGGUGGGACCAUAAUUAAUAUUGACCCAUAUGGUAUCUCUUGUCUUCACAUUUGCAUAACAGCUGUUUUGGGUCUUGUUGUACUGUUUUGAUAAUUAAUUUCCUUAAAUGAGGGUAUUUUAGUAAUUAAUUAUUAUAUAUUCUAGCAGUUAUAAACUUUUUUUAUCCCUAGUUAUUUUGCAUAUUGAAUUUUGCUACCUACCUCACCGAUUUUAUUCUUAAAGACCCAUAAUAAAUAAGUGUGGAAAUUGUAGAUGAGACCUGUCAAAGUGAGUAGUAGGAAUCAGUCAACAUUUGAAUUGGGUUUUAUAUAUUUGUAAUAUGAAUAAUUAACAAUUGAAGGUUAUGUGAUAAAGACAAUACAAUUAAAAAUUACCGAUUUCCAACUAAUUAAUUUAAAUUCUACCCAUUAAGAUGUUGAAAUAAGUAUCAAUACAUUGGAAAAAUGAACCAACAACUGCCUAAGCUGUCUAAAUCUUGAUAGGCAGAGUUACACAAUAUAUGCGAGGGUGGAAGUAGCCUUCAGGGUACGGGUUUGGCAGAACUCAGUAGCAUUGGCCCAAACCAUAUAUAUGUAUUAAGAAAUUUAUAAAAUGUACAAAAUUAAAUUUGGAACUCAAUUACUAGUAGUUGAAGUCGUCAUCUUAGAAUUUAAAACUCAUAAUAUUCAAAUCUCGAACCACAUUUAUUAUAAAAUAUGAAUGUGGAAAAUUUGAGUUAGGCACAUGCUUGGAAGAUUUGAAACUUGGGGUUGAAUUAAUUUGAAUCUAGAAGCUAAUCAACAAUUAAUUUGGAUCUUGAAUUGUUUCAAUAUUUAUGGAGCAGUUUUACUGAACAUGGGCAUUGUUGACUUUGAUCAUGUGUGUGAACUCUUGCUCAUUGAUAUAAUUUUUAAUAUUGAGGGUAAGUAUUUGACAUAUCAGUAUAUUGGGUAUUAAAUAAGGUGUUUGGUUGAGCAUGGUACUGGUGGAAAAUGUAUUUAGGUCAAGCUUCCUAUUUAUAGCCUUGGUCUCCCUAUAUAUUCAAUUUUUCUAUCUUUGUAGAAGCAUCUGCAUGUGACUGUCCACUUCCAUGAGGUCUCUUCUAUAACUGUCCAGCUAUUAAAUUGCCAUAUGCUGCAUUUUAUGUGCGACUAUUUAAAUGACUAGUUACUUUGACAUGGUGUUUCUUGAUAAUUACUAAUUUACUAGAACUAAUAGAAGUUAGUUGAAGAAAAAAUAUUUACUCUGUCUUUCUAAUUUAAUAAACAUACUCCUGAAAAUUGUACAAUUAUGGGUCACUCAAAUCACGUACUAGUUAUGCAGAUAUUAUACUGCAGCAUUGUUUAUGCAAUGAUUCAUAAUGUGGGAAUUAUCAUGCGAUGGAUAAUAAUGGCGAAAUUAUUAUGCAGGAAUCGCUUACUUUAGGUCCUUUUUCCUUGAUAAAAAACCUUUAGGUGUCCUUUUUUUGAUAGGGAGUAACUUAAUAAGGGCCUUUUUGUUUUUGUUUUUAGUUACUCUUAUCCAUGUAUUAAUAUUCUUAUUCCACAUUCUAACAUGCUAUAAUAAGUUAAUAACUUAGGUUGCUACAUGGCUUUUUUUUCCCCGAUAACCAUGUUGUCCGAGCCGGCUUAUAUUCCUACAUGACUCAUGCAGCUAUAAGCAAUGCGGAGUUUAAUGAGGCCAACCAAGCAUUGUAUUAAGUUAUACAGUGUUUUUUUUUCUUGUGGACCAACCAAGCAUCGUAUAACUUAUGUGGAAUUUUAUGAUGUAAUUAUCUUGUUUAUAUGGUGAACUAAACGACCCCUUACUCUGCUGUAAACCUUUCACAUGUUUAUUGGAAUACGUCAAGCAAGUCAACUUUUGGCUUGAUCUUUUUCAUAUAAAACUAUAUUUUACAAAAUACUGCAACAACAACGACGACUCAAUCUCAAGGAGACUUUUUUUUU